Molecule: long non-coding RNA, 328 nt
Filed under: Mytilus galloprovincialis (Mediterranean mussel)
Lineage: Eukaryota; Metazoa; Mollusca; Bivalvia; Mytilida; Mytilidae
Source: RNAcentral
CCUGACUUAGGACAGGUGCAAACAUUUGCAGCGGGAUCAAACGUGUUAAUGGUACCAAACAUUCUCCCUUUUUACUGAAACAAUAGUAUAACAUCACAACAUAGAAAAACAGACGAUAAAAUAUCAAUUGGAAGGCUUAACUCAAUCAAAAAACGUUAAUUAACACACUAUGAACGAAUACAUUUGAUCUGCGAUACCUGAAUGCAAAUACAUAGUUAAUAAAAUUAUUAAGGACAAACAUUCAAGGCCAAAAAAGCAAACAAACAAGUCCAAACAAAGCCAUGGCAAGACACCACCGCGAAAUAUUUAGCAACCCUUAGAAAAUAAU